GACGAACGCUGGCGGCGCGCCUAACACAUGCAAGUCGAACGAGAGAGAGGGAGCUUGCUUCCUCAAUCAAGUGGCGAACGGGUGAGUAACGCGUGAGGAACCUGCCUCAAAGAGGGGGACAACAGUUGGAAACGACUGCUAAUACCGCAUAAGCCCACAGGUCGGCAUCGACCAGAGGGAAAAGGAGCAAUCCGCUUUGAGAUGGCCUCGCGUCCGAUUAGCUAGUUGGUGAGGUAACGGCCCACCAAGGCGACGAUCGGUAGCCGGACUGAGAGGUUGAACGGCCACAUUGGGACUGAGACACGGCCCAGACUCCUACGGGAGGCAGCAGUGGGGAAUAUUGCACAAUGGGGGAAACCCUGAUGCAGCGACGCCGCGUGGAGGAAGAAGGUCUUCGGAUUGUAAACUCCUGUUGUUGAGGAAGAUAAUGACGGUACUCAACAAGGAAGUGACGGCUAACUACGUGCCAGCAGCCGCGGUAAAACGUAGGUCACAAGCGUUGUCCGGAAUUACUGGGUGUAAAGGGAGCGCAGGCGGGAAGACAAGUUGGAAGUGAAAUCUAUGGGCUCAACCCAUAAACUGCUUUCAAAACUGUUUUUCUUGAGUAGUGCAGAGGUAGGCGGAAUUCCCGGUGUAGCGGUGGAAUGCGUAGAUAUCGGGAGGAACACCAGUGGCGAAGGCGGCCUACUGGGCACCAACUGACGCUGAGGCUCGAAAGUGUGGGCAGCAAACAGGAUUAGAUACCCUGGUAGUCCACACCGUAAACGAUGAUAAUAGGUGUUGGAGGAUGGACCCCUUCAGUGCCGCAGUUAACACAAUAAGUAAUCCACCUGGGGAGUACGACCGCAAGGUUGAAACUCAAAGGAAUAGACGGGGGCCCGCACAAGCAGUGGAGUAUGUGGUUUAAUUCGACGCAACGCGAAGAACCUUACCAAGUCUUGACAUCCUGCGACGAUGCUGGAAACAGUAUUUUCCUUCGGGACGCAGAGACAGGUGGUGCAUGGUUGUCGUCAGCUCGUGUCGUGAGAUGUUGGGUUAAGUCCCGCAACGUGCGCAACCCUUACUGUCAGUUACUACGCAAGAGGACUCUGGCAGGACUGCCGUUGACAAAACGGAGGAAGGUGGGGAGGACGUCAAAUCAUCAUGCCCCCUAUGACUUGGGCUACACACGUACUACAAUGGCGUUAAACAAAGAGAAGCAAGACCGCGAGGUGGAGCAAAACUCAGAAACAACGUCCAAGUUCGGACUGCAGGCUGCAACUCGCCUGCACGAAGUCGGAAUUGCUAGUAAUCGUGGAUCAGCAUGCCACGGUGAAUACGAUCCCGGGCCUUGCACA
This 1337-nucleotide ribosomal RNA is filed under the name uncultured bacterium. Its description in RNAcentral is "bacterial SSU rRNA". It matches the Rfam family "Bacterial small subunit ribosomal RNA", at positions 28 to 1387 of the family's 1533-position model. The record is from RNAcentral.